RNAcentral lists this non-coding RNA (48 nucleotides) under Trichobilharzia regenti. The record is from RNAcentral. Lineage: Eukaryota; Metazoa; Platyhelminthes; Trematoda; Strigeidida; Schistosomatidae.
AUCCAGAUGACGAGUCCCGAAUAGGACGAAAUGUGCGUUAUCCUGGAU